ACAUCGACCCUCUCUGGAGCACUCGAGAGAGCUUCCGUUUAACAUUAAGAGGAGUGGUUCGGGAUCAAGAUGGAUGCUGACGGAACAUCUUGACCAUUGUACCAAGAAAAAAGAAGGAAUCUUCGGACAUCAGCAGGACUAAUUGUAUUAAUCAACUGAUUUCGACGAAGAUCUUUAACAUUCUACCAAGAAAAAGAAGGAGUCUUUUGACAUCAGGAGGACUGGUUGCAUCCAUCG
Musa acuminata subsp. malaccensis (wild Malaysian banana) is the source of this 237-nucleotide long non-coding RNA. RefSeq lists it as uncharacterized. The record is from RefSeq and is a predicted model, not a curated record. Lineage: Eukaryota; Viridiplantae; Streptophyta; Magnoliopsida; Zingiberales; Musaceae.